UACGAAGGGGGCUAGCGUUGUUCGGAAUUACUGGGCGUAAAGCGCACGUAGGCGGCUUUGUCAGUCAGGGGUGAAAUCCCGGGGCUCAACCUCGGAAUUGCCUUUGAUACUGCGAAGCUUGAAUCCGUGAGAGGGUGGUGGAAUACCCAGUGUAGAGGUGAAAUUCGUAGAUAUUGGGUGGAACACCAGUGGCGAAGGCGGCCACCUGGCACGGUAUUGACGCUGAGGUGCGAAAGCGUGGGGAG
This 245-nucleotide ribosomal RNA is filed under the name uncultured Rhodospirillaceae bacterium. Its description in RNAcentral is "partial 16S ribosomal RNA". It matches the Rfam family "Bacterial small subunit ribosomal RNA", at positions 524 to 768 of the family's 1533-position model. The record is from RNAcentral. Lineage: Bacteria; Pseudomonadati; Pseudomonadota; Alphaproteobacteria; Rhodospirillales; Rhodospirillaceae.